RNAcentral lists this ribosomal RNA (444 nucleotides) under uncultured prokaryote. RNAcentral's name for it is "bacterial SSU rRNA". It matches the Rfam family "Bacterial small subunit ribosomal RNA", at positions 355 to 796 of the family's 1533-position model. The record is from RNAcentral.
UGAGGAAUAUUGGACAAUGGGCGGAGGCCUGAUCCAGCCAUGCCGCGUGCGGGAAGACGGCCCUACGGGUCGUAAACCGCUUUUGUACGGGAAGAAACCUGUCCACGCGUGGGCAGUUGACGGUACCGUAAGAAUAAGGACCGGCUAACUCCGUGCCAGCAGCCGCGGUAAUACGGAGGGUCCGAGCGUUAUCCGGAAUCAUUGGGUUUAAAGGGUCCGUAGGCGGGCCGUUAAGUCAGGGGUGAAAUACCACGGCUCAACCGUGGAGGUGCCCUUGAUACUGGCGGUCUUGAGUGACGGUGGGGCGGCCGGAAUAUGUGGUGUAGCGGUGAAAUGCAUAGAUAUCACAUAGAACACCGAUCGCGAAGGCAGGUCGCCAACCGUGUACUGACGCUGAUGGACGAAAGCGUGGGGAGCGAACGGGAUUAGAUACCCCCGUAGUCC